GCGCUCGGUAAGGGUAAGGGCGGCCGUUGGCUCCCCGUUGUUGCUCGGGCCGCUGACGUUCAAACUGACCAAUCACAAUGCCCCGCCUCAGGGCCGGGCUAGUGUUAAAAACUGCUGAGGUGGGGCAGAUUUUGCUACCAGCAGGGUUCACUGACGCGUAAGGUGCCCUGUCACAAUUUGCUACCUCCCCUUGUCUCAUUGGUCCCGGGGGAGCAAGUUCUGACCGGACAUCAAGCGGUGAGGUAGCAAACCAUGGUGACAGUUGUUGCCCUUUACAAUUUGCUACCAUUUUGAAAUCUCCAUUGUAAAUGUGGACGCCCUGAGAGGAGCUGAACCUGCUGGCCACUUUCAGGAAGCAGUGCGGAGCCAGGACAGGCAGGGAGCCUGCCUUAUCCCCACUGGCUGCUGAGCGGAAGCCGCCUGAGCUGUGAAACCUGGACACCAUACAAAUAGCAUAUCAAACAGCUAGAGGCCUUCCAUAUAUGGUCGCUGCGUGCCAUUAUAGGGAUCUGCUGGCAAGACAAAAUUACCAACCUGGAGGUUCUCCAAAAGUCAAAUGCCACAAGCACCGAGGCCAUGUUGAUAAAAGCCCAACUACGCUGGGCUGGACACAUCAUUAGGAUGCCUGAACAUUGACUCCGCAGAAAAAAUUUUCUAUGGAGAAUUGGCACAAGGACACUGGACUCAAGGCCACCCCAGAAAGCACUAUAAGGAUAGCAUCAAGAACAGUAUACACUUCAGUGCAAUAAAACCGCAUGAUCUCGAGAAGUGUGUGUCAAAUAGAUCAGCAUGGCGACACACAAUAUUCAGAGCUUUCCAAGCCUUUGAAGAGGAUGAAAUAAUAGACUGUUAGCUGAAAGGGAAAAGUGUUAUACCACUACUAUAGCUACCAAGACCCUCACCAAUGACUUUGUCUGCCCGAUCUGCUUACGAGUAUGUGCAUCACGCUUUGGAUUUAGGAGUCACUCUAGAAUCCACAAAAAGAGAUAGCAUGAAAACUUCGUUGUCAAACUGACAGACUACGUGAAGAAGACGACCAAACCACUAUAGAAGGAAAGCCUUGCAGAAGCAAAAAGCCAUUCAAGUAACUGUCACAGGCAGUAAGUAGGAACUGAGUAGGUGUGGGGCCAGCGGUGCCCUAUAUACUGGUACAGAGGAACGGGGUUCUACGGGGUGCUAGGGCCGUCCCUAUGGAUACCAUUAAGGGAAAAAAAUCUCCGGCAACGGUGCAUGUGACGCGUGCACACCUAGCAUGGAAUCGACAUGAGCAAGCACUUGAAGAACUAAUGUGGCCUUCAAGAUGUAAGGAUUGUAUCUCAGGUAUAUAAAUCAAAAUACUUCUGAUUACAUGUUUGGCAGCAAUAAGUACAGCAAAAUGCUGCAAUUAAAGG
This is a long non-coding RNA of Trachemys scripta elegans, 1391 nucleotides long. RefSeq lists it as uncharacterized. The transcript is spliced from 3 exons. The record is from RefSeq and is a predicted model, not a curated record. NCBI's taxonomy places the organism in Eukaryota, Metazoa, Chordata, Testudines, Emydidae.